UGGGGUGUGGUUCAGUGGUAAAGUAUGUGUUUAAUAUGCAUGAAGCCCUGGGUUCAAUUCCCAGCACUGCAU
Molecule: transfer RNA, 72 nt
Filed under: Fukomys damarensis (Damara mole-rat)
Lineage: Eukaryota; Metazoa; Chordata; Mammalia; Rodentia; Bathyergidae
Rfam family: tRNA
About the family: Transfer RNA (tRNA) molecules are approximately 80 nucleotides in length.
Source: Rfam by way of RNAcentral